UGUGGACCUCGUCUGAGGGGGAGAGAACCCGCCAAAUUUAAGCAUAUUAAUAAGCGGAGGAAAAGAAACCAACCGGGAUUCCCCGAGUAAGGGCGACUGAAACGGGAUGAGCCCAGCGCAUAACCUCGCGGUCGUACUCGGCCGUCGAGGGGUGUUGCGUUUCGGUGCAUCCAUCCCGCCCGAGCUGCUCACCGCCUAAGUCAUUGCUUGAAAGCAGCCCCAGGGAGGGUGAUAGGCCCGUGUGGCGGCGCCUGUAAAGCAGGUGUAGGCAGGUUCGGGCGGAGGGAUGUUCACCGCAGAGUCGGGUUGCUUAGUACUGCAGCCCUAAGCAGGUGGUAAACUCCAUCUAAGGCUAAAUACUACCACGAGUCCGAUAGAAGACAAGUACCGUGAGGGAAAGCUGAAAAGGACUUUGAAGAGAGAGUUAACAAGGACGUGAAACCGUUAGAAGCCUAAACGGGUGGAACUGCGAUGGUCGAACGAGGGGAUUCCGCCCUGCGGCCCGUGGCGCGGAAGGCGGUCCAUUGCGAUGGAAAGACCCGGCAUGAAUUGGGGUAGCCGUGGCUCCGUCCCCGCGCGCGCGUGGUUCGCGGGGCUUAUUUCGCCCUCUAGUAGGCAUCGCCGCGACUCGUUGAGGGGACACCAAGGGCCGCGUCGGACUGGUAGGCCGCACCCUCGGGUGCGGGCGACGACCGGCCGCGGUUCCGACGUGCCCCCGCGACGAGCACUGCCAGGAGGCCUGGCGCGUACCCUCGGGUGCGUGCCGGCACCUCUCGCGGCGCAGACUGGGAUCGGUAAUCCACCCGACCCGUCUUGAAACACGGACCAAGGAGUCCAACAGGUGCGCGAGUCUAAGGGUGUGUCUAAACCCGGAGGCGAAAUGAAAGUGAGCCCUACAGAGGCAGGCCGAUCUCUGGCCGUGCGCCCUCGCGCAGCCGGGCCGGGCUCUCGCCGGGAGGCGUUGCCCGUGAUGCCGGCGUGCGGGACGUGCGGCGCCCGCAAGGGUUGCCCCUGAACACGGGGCCGGAGCGCAGGCCGAGGACUUGCCUUUGUGCGGCCCCGGGGACGGGACUCUGUCCUCACCCGGGUGUCCGCCGGCAAGUACCUAAGAGCGCAUACGUUGGGACCCGAAAGAUGGUGAACUAUGCCUGGCGAGGACGAAGCCAGAGGAAACUCUGGUGGAGGUCCGAAGCAGUUCUGACGUGCAAAUCGAUUGUCAGAGCUGGGUAUAGGGGCGAAAGACUAAUCGAACCAUCUAGUAGCUGGUUCCCU
This 1272-nucleotide ribosomal RNA is filed under the name Crangon franciscorum (California bay shrimp). RNAcentral's name for it is "eukaryotic LSU rRNA". It matches the Rfam family "Eukaryotic large subunit ribosomal RNA", at positions 1 to 960 of the family's 3401-position model. The record is from RNAcentral. Lineage: Eukaryota; Metazoa; Arthropoda; Malacostraca; Decapoda; Crangonidae.